This 484-nucleotide ribosomal RNA is filed under the name uncultured bacterium. RNAcentral describes it as "partial 16S ribosomal RNA". It matches the Rfam family "Bacterial small subunit ribosomal RNA", at positions 29 to 507 of the family's 1533-position model. The record is from RNAcentral.
AUUGAACGCUGGCGGCAUGCUUUACACAUGCAAGUCGAACGGCAGCGCGGGCUUCGGCCUGGCGGCGAGUGGCGAACGGGUGAGUAAUACAUCGGAACGUGCCCAGUAGUGGGGGAUAGGUCGGCGACAGCCGGAUUAAUACCGCAUACGACCUGAGGGUGAAAGCGGGGGAUCUUCGGACCUCGCGCUAUUGGAGCGGCCGAUGGCAGAUUAGCUAGUUGGUGGGGUAAAGGCCUACCAAGGCGACGAUCUGUAGCUGGUCUGAGAGGACGACCAGCCACACUGGGACUGAGACACGGCCCAGACUCCUACGGGAGGCAGCAGUGGGGAAUUUUGGACAAUGGGCGAAAGCCUGAUCCAGCAAUGCCGCGUGUGUGAUGAAGGCCUUCGGGUUGUAAAGCACUUUUGGCGGGAACGAAAAGGACUGUGCCAAUACCACGGUUCGAUGACGGUACCCGCAGAAUAAGCACCGGCUAACUACGUG